AACGCGAAGAACCUUACCUGGGCUCGAACGGCUCACGAAAGUCUUUGGAAACAGAGAUUUCCCGCAAGGGACGGGAGUCGAGGUGCUGCAUGGCUGUCGUCAGCUCGUGUCGUGAGAUGUUGGGUUAAGUCCCGCAACGAGCGCAACCCUUGUCCUGUGUUACCAUGCCGAAAGGCGGCACUCGCAGGAGACCGCCAGCGAUAAGCUGGAGGAAGGUGGGGAUGACGUCAAGUCCUCAUGGCCUUUAUGUCCAGGGCUACACACGUGCUACAAUGGGCGGUACAAAGCGCUGCUAAACCGCAAGGUGGAGCCAAUCGCAAAAAGCCGCUCUCAGUUCGGAUUGCAGGCUGCAACUCGCCUGCAUGAAGCUGGAAUCGCUAGUAAUGCUAUAUCAGAACGAUAGCGUGAAUACGUUCCCGGGCCUUGUA
RNAcentral lists this ribosomal RNA (428 nucleotides) under uncultured Acidobacterium sp. RNAcentral's name for it is "bacterial SSU rRNA". It matches the Rfam family "Bacterial small subunit ribosomal RNA", at positions 958 to 1385 of the family's 1533-position model. Lineage: Bacteria; Pseudomonadati; Acidobacteriota; Terriglobia; Terriglobales; Acidobacteriaceae. The record is from RNAcentral.